UGAUAUGUUCUGUGUCUGCACUGUGUAG
This 28-nucleotide non-coding RNA is filed under the name Homo sapiens (human). Lineage: Eukaryota; Metazoa; Chordata; Mammalia; Primates; Hominidae. The record is from RNAcentral.